GAGCUCUCCGCCUCGCCGGCCCACUCGGGCGCCAUUUUGAGAAGCUCUUUGUGGGGCGGGGCUGCGAGAGACGCUCGGUGCAUGCCCGGGGGGCGCGGGGCCUUGGCCGCUGUGAUUGGCCCUUCCCUGGGAGCGCGCGGUGCAGCCGGGCCUGAGCGGGGAGUGGGGCUGCCCCCCCCCCACCCACUGAGGGGGGAUCCCCUCCUCCGGCUCUCCUGGGGGUUGCGAGCCCCGAAGCCAGGCACCCCCUGUGAUAGCGGCAGCCGGCCGGAGCGUCGGUAUCCCCGCGCCUCAGGUGGGCUGGAUGCUCCCCGCCUGCCGCGCGAUUCCCGCGUCUCCCGCUGGGGCGCUCUCCGGGGCUGCCGCGCCACUGAAACUGGGGGCGGGGGGCGGGAAGCGGGGUCCUGCAAGGGACCAAGAGGUCGGGGCAAAGGAAGAGGUGGCAGAGAUUUUGGAAACAAGGGACAGCUUUCAUAUGUCAGAGGGAAAAUGCGAGGCAAAACAAUUAAUGGGCUCAUAAGACGUGUGAUAGGAAGAAUGAGUCUAUAUCCUGACCCCCAAGGCCGAAGAGGAGGCAGAGGGGGGGCCACCUUUUCUACCAUCCUCACCCAUGAGAAGAAUGAUGAGAGAUCCUUUCUCACUUCCACCACAAGACAUGGACUUCCUCCUCCACCAUCACCACCAGGACCAAUGGGCUUCAGAGGCAGGCCACCUCAUCCCAAAGCCAGAGGGAUGCUGUGGAUGCCAACCGGUCGUUUCCCUCCGCCAAGAGGGGUAACAUAGUCACCCUUUGAGGCCAAUUGGAGAUGGUACACAGACCUUUCGGAGAGCGUACAACAAGCCUUAUCUGAGAUGAGAACAUUUUUAAAACUUUUUUAUCACCCAUAAUUUCUCUGUCCUUUACAGUCUAAAAAAUUAUUUACGCAGAUUUUUCCAACAAAUGCCCAUGUGUUUAGUAACUAGUUUAGCCAAGAGAAAAAGUGGUGAGAACUUUAGCAUUAAAGCUUCUGUUCUUUAUCCUGUGUUACAGCAUAUGUCAAAAAAUAGUUCUGGAGUCAGUUACUAUAAUGUCCUUCGUUUGUUCUAGUACUAAUUUUUAAAUUUAGAAACUGCUUCACUUGUUUUCGCUAUUGAGACCUAUAUUUUGAACUCUUGGAAUUUUUGCUAUGGGAAAACUAUGAACAGCAGAGCUGAAAUUCAAGCUGGAAGUUCUGUUAAGUUCAAGGAGCAAAAGACUGGUAUGUUCAUUAUGACCCUUAAUUUCUUAUACUGUAAUUACUGUAAGGUACAGUUAGUACAAGAAUAUUAUAGAAACACUAAGUUUUCUGCACAGAACUACAAAACUUUUUAGGAAAGAAGUAUGAAUACUGUACAUUAGAAUACAGAAUAGAAACCAGUGAGGACUUCAAGUUGUAAGUGUGUAUAUAAAUAGGUAGUGUUUCUUAUUUUAAAACUGAUAUUCAGUGAGGGAGUUUUCUUGUCAUCUACAAUUUUUGGUUUAAAAAAAUAAACAUUAAAACAUUUUGUUGUGAUCCAAAAUACAGCAUUUACACAGGCUUCCUGAGAUAUACUGUUCUGAAGUAGUAGUUAACACCAAAUUUAUAUAAAAAUAAACAGUAGAGCAUGCAUACUAAAACAAUUAGCUUAAUUGAUGACUUACAGAACUACAUGUUCGUGCUAUCAGUGUCCUGUUUCUAGUGCACCAACUGGAGAAAAAGAAAAUAAAAAACCCCAAGGGAUCUUUUCAGAUAAAGCUUCAGUAUAACAGUAAAAUAAAACUAAAUUGAGAGAAGGGAUUUAAAAAAAAAUUGUAAAGGGGUUUUCAAACAGCAAGGAGGAUUUGGUCUAUCAUAUGUCCAUUUUCUUCUUUUAAAGUGUUAUGGUGAGGACUUCUGACGUUAAUUUUUCAAUUAUAUAUAUCCCAGAUAUAUUGCAUGAAUAUUAGGCUAUGAUACAUCAGGGAUCGGCAGCCUUUGGCACAUGGCCUUUUAGGGUAAGCCCCUGGUGGGCCAGGCUGGUUUGUUUACCUGCUGCGUCCACAAGUUCGGCCGAUCGCAGCUCCCGCUGGCCGCGGUUCGCUGUCCCAGGUCAAUCAGGGCUGUGGGAAGGUCGGCCAGCACAUCCCUCGGCCUGCUGCCACUUCCCUCAGUCCCCAUUGGCCUGGGACGGCGAACUGUGGCUAAUGGGAGCUGCGAUCAGCCGGACCUGCGGACGUGGCAGGUAAACAGCCCGGCCCGCCAGUGGCUUACCCUGAUGGCCGUGUGUCAAAGGUUGCCGAUCCCAGGGAUACAUUAACAGAAAAUACCAGACAAACCAAAUAGAUUUCACAAAUUUGAAUGAGAAUCAAGUGAAAAGACAACAUUGUUUAUAAAAGCCGCUAUGUAAAUUCAUAAGGUCUGUUUAGUGUACUAGGAUUACCAUAAUCUUCUGAGAUUUUUGCACUGAGUACUUUGGUAGAAGAUAUUGAGCAAAGGUAAAUUUUAUCUUUCAUUUCCCUCUUCUUCUCCCCCCUUUUUAUUUUACAGAAUUCAGUUUUCUUUGAAAAGUUUGUCAUGGCAGAUUUUUUGGCAGCAAAACUAAUCUGUUUCUUAUCUCUUAAUUUCUCAGCAGAUGGACCAUCACCGUUUAAAGGAGCACCUAGUCAAAAUUAUAAGUAUCCUAAAGAACUCUCUGCACUAGUUGUGAUAAACUCCUUCAGUAAUGAUGUCACUCUUUUGUAGGGCAGGGAUUAUGAACUUCUUCUAUACAGAAAGAUGUAUUCCUGACUGCUGAGCAGAUGACAGAAGAACCAUAUUAUUUUUUCAAACAGAUUUGUUGAUGAGUUCGAUGUGAAUAUCCUGAGUAGCUAGCAAAAUCAGGCCAUUCAGUAAAUGAAGCUCUGUGGCUGGCACAGUGAGCUUUAUUGACACACUGAUGAUUUACAUUUGUUUGAUUUCCGUCUAACUUUGCAACACACCAUCUUGGCUCUUUUUAUUUUUCUACUAAGAGCUGCUAUAGCAGAAUUUCCCCCAACUAGAGAGACCUAUCUCCUUCCCCUCAGAGCCAGUUGCCUGUAUUUAGCAGAGUAGUAGGGGUUGAAAUAACUGUGUGCACCUUCAAAUUGGAAUCUGUGGUAUUUCCCAUCAGUCAGUUAGGAAUGGAAGAAACAUAGGGUGUACUUGAGGGCUAAAGUUAUUUGGCUCUUCUUGACAGCUCUUUUUAAGAGGUCACAUAUAGAGAAGAAAAAGAGACUUGUGCCCUGAAAGUUACAUUACUUUCCUCCCCCAUACAAUGGCCAAUGAGAUCAGAGCCCUCCCCUCCAUACAACUGAGGAAGGUUCUCCUUUUCCCCAGCACACAGUGGAUUGUGACUGAAAGGAGCCUGCUCAUAAAGGAGUGUUUGUAAACUGCACUCUAGUGACUGUAGGGGUCCAAAAGUCAUCCUCCCUCCCACUUAAAUUAUUUUGUUUUUAAAGCACAGCUCUGAUGGUAGUCACCCCCCAUCCCUUUGCCACCACACACCACAGCAGUUCUUGUGGCUCCUUCAUACCCUUCCAUUGCUGCACCCCAACAAUCCAGGUCUCGGCUCCAUUCCUGUAGGCCUGCUGAAGUGCAGAAUAAGGUAUUUACCAGCACUCUCUGGCUGUGGAAGAGAAAGGAAUUAAACCAAGUCUGCAUCUUAGGCUAAUGUGCUAAUCAUUCACCCACUUCUUCAGGAAGCCCUCUCAAUCUUCACAGAAGAAAAGGGAGGAAAAGGAUGAGCUUCCACUUAGGCAGUAGUGCAAGAGCCUCAUUUUCAGGGCCCCCAUAG
Molecule: RNA transcript, 3789 nt
Organism: Dermochelys coriacea (leatherback sea turtle)
Lineage: Eukaryota; Metazoa; Chordata; Testudines; Dermochelyidae
Gene name: collagen alpha-1(XVII) chain-like
Exons: 7
Source: RefSeq, a predicted model, not a curated record